Molecule: ribosomal RNA, 1385 nt
Filed under: uncultured bacterium
Lineage: Bacteria
Description: partial 16S ribosomal RNA
Rfam family: Bacterial small subunit ribosomal RNA
Source: RNAcentral
AGAGUUUGAUCCUGGCUCAGGAUGAACGCUGGCGGCGUGCCUAACACAUGCAAGUCGAGCGAGAACCGAAAAGACAGAAGCUUCGGCCGAAGGAUUUUUGGGGAAAGCGGCGGACGGGUGAGUAACGCGUAGGUAACCUGCCCUAUACACGGGGAUAGCCACUGGAAACGGUGAUUAAUACCCGAUAGUCUCUUGUAACGCAUGUUAUGAGAGGGAAAGAUUUAUCGGUAUGGGAUGGACCUGCGUCUGAUUAGCUAGUUGGGGGGGUAAUGGCCUACCAAGGCAACGAUCAGUAGCCGACCUUAGAGGGUGAUCGGCCACACUGGGACUGAGAACGGCCCACACUCCUACGGGAGGCAGUAGUGGGGAAUAUUGCGCAAUGGGCGAAAGCCUGAUGCAGCAACGCCGCGUGAGCGAUGAAGGCCUUUGGGUCGUAAAGCUCUGUCCUUGGGGAAGAAAAAAAAUGACGGUGCCCUUGGAGGAAGCCCCGGCUAACUACGUGCCAGCAGCCGCGGUAAUACGUAGGGGGCAAGCGUUAUCCGGAAUUAUUGGGCGUAAAGCGCGUGUAGGUGGUUCUGUAAGUAGGGCGUGAAAGCUCCCGGCUCAACUGGGAGAGGCCGUACUAAACUGCAGAGCUAGAGGAUGGUAGAGGGAGGUGGAAUUCCAGGUGUAGUGGUGAAAUGCGCAGAUAUCUGGAGGAACACCAGUGGCGAAGGCGGCCUCCUGGACCAUUCCUGACACUCAGACGCGAAAGCUAGGGUAGCAAACGGAAGUAGAGACUCCGGUAGUCCUAGCCCUAAACGAUGCNAUGGUAGGGGUCGGCGGUUUAAUCACCGUCGGUGUCCAAGCUAACGGAAUAAGUCUCCGCCUGGAGGAUACCGCCCGCAAGGCUAAAAUUCAAAGGAAUGGACGGUCCCCGGCACAGCAAGCGGAGCGUGUGGUUUAAUUGGAUGUUCCGCGAGGACCUUUACCUGGGUUUGACAUAACAGUGGUAGAGAAGUGAAAACGGAUCGACCCCUUCGGGGAGCUGUUACAGGUGUUGCAUGCCUGUCGUCAGCUCGUGUCGUGAGAUGUUCGGUUAAGUCCGCUAACGAGCGCAACCCGCGCUGUGUGUUACAAGUGUCACACAGUACCGCCGGUAUUAAGUCGGAGGAAGGUGCGGAUGACGUCAAGUCAGCAUGACCUUUAUAUCCAGGGCUACACACACGCUACAAUGGUCAGAACAAUAGGUUGCCAAGCCGCAAGGCGGAGCCAAUCCUCCAAAUCUGGCCUCAGUUCAGAUUGCAGGCUGCAACUCGCCUGCAUGAAGUCGGAGUUGCUAGUAACCGCAGGUCAGCAUACUGCGGUGAAUACGUUCCCGGGGAUUGUACUCACCGCCCGUCAAG